This 444-nucleotide long non-coding RNA is filed under the name Sorghum bicolor (sorghum). Its description in RNAcentral is "long non-coding RNA (SBIC_LNC003841)". Lineage: Eukaryota; Viridiplantae; Streptophyta; Magnoliopsida; Poales; Poaceae. The record is from RNAcentral.
GGCGUCGCCUUCCCCGUGCGCACGAGCUCCGGCGCGAGGUACCCCAUGGUCCCGACCACGUGAGUCGUCUGAGGGUCGGUGCCAUGGUCGUACAGUCUUGCCAGUCCAAAGUCGCCUAGCCGGCCGUUCAUCUCGUGGUCGAGCAGCACGUUGCUCGCCUUUACGUCCCGGUGGAUGACGACCUGCUCCCAGUCCUCGUGCAGGUACAGGAGGCUCGCCGCGACGCCCUUGACGAUCCGGUACCUCUCGUGCCACGACAGCACCGGCACUUGCUGGUCGUACAGGUACUUGUCAAGGCUCCCGUUCGCCAUGUAGUCGUACACCAAGAUGAGCUCGCCUUUGCGCCUGCAGUAGCCUAGCAGCUGCACGAGGUUCCGGUGCCGGAGGCGGCCGAUGCUCACCACCUCCGCGACGAACUCCCUGACGCCCUGCCUGGAAUCAUGC